UGGGGAAUCUUGCACAAUGGGGGAAACCCUGAUGCAGCGACGCCGCGUGAGUGAUGAAGCCCUUCGGGGUGUAAAAGCUCUUUCGGCAGGGACGAUAAUGACGGUACCUGCAGAAGAAGCUGCGGCUAACUACGUGCCAGCAGCCGCGGUAAUACGUAGGCAGCAAGCGUUGUUCGGAAUUACUGGGCGUAAAGAGUGCGUAGGCGGUUUGGCAAGUUUGGUGUGAAAUCUCCUGGCUUAACUGGGAGGGUGCGCCGAAAAACUGUCAGGCUAGAGUGUGGGAGAGGAAAGCGGAAUUCCUGGUGUAGCGGUGAAAUGCGUAGAUAUCAGGAGGAACACCUGCGGUGUAGACGGCUUUCUGGACCACUACUGACGCUGAGGCACGAAAGCGUGGGGAGCAAACAGGAUUAGAUACCCUGGUAGUCCACGCCCUAAACGAUGCGGACUUGGUGUUGGCCCUUCAUUGGUCAGUGCCGCAGUUAANGCGUAAGUCCGCCGCCUGGGGAGUACGGUCGCAAGGCUGAAACUUAAAGGAAUUGACGGGGUCAUAGCUGUUUCCUG
Molecule: ribosomal RNA, 561 nt
Filed under: uncultured bacterium
Lineage: Bacteria
Description: partial 16S ribosomal RNA
Rfam family: Bacterial small subunit ribosomal RNA
Source: RNAcentral